UACGGGGUGCCACAGGCGCGAAACCUUUACACUGCACGAGAGUGCGAUAAGGGGACUCCACGUGCGAGGGCAUAUAGUCCUCGCUUUUCUCGACCGUAAGGAGGUCGAGGAAUAAGUGCUGGGCAAGACCGGUGCCAGCCGCCGCGGUAAUACCGGCAGCACGAGUGAUGACCGCUCUUAUUGGGCCUAAAGCGUCCGUAGCUGGCCACGCAAGUCUAUCGGGAAAUCCGCGCGCUCAACGCGCGGGCGUCCGGUGGAAACUGUGUGGCUUGGGACCGGAAGAUCCAGAGGGUACGUCCGGGGUAGGAGUGAAAUCCCGUAAUCCUGGACGGACCACCGGUGGCGAAAGCGCUCUGGAAAGACGGAUCCGACGGUGAGGGACGAAAGCUCGGGUCACGAACCGGAUUAGAUACCCGGGUAGUCCGAGCUGUAAACGAUGUCUGCUAGGUGUGCCACAGGCUACGAGCCUGUGGUGUGCCGUAGGGAAGCCGUGAAGCAGACCGCCUGGGAAGUACGUCCGCAAGGAUGAAACUUAAAGGAAUUGGCGGGGGGAGCAC
Molecule: ribosomal RNA, 557 nt
Filed under: uncultured archaeon
Lineage: Archaea
Also listed under: 1 other name
Description: bacterial SSU rRNA
Rfam family: Archaeal small subunit ribosomal RNA
Source: RNAcentral